GCGCGGGUGGGUGCUGACGGCAGGGAGGGGCGUGUGGGAGGCCUGGGCUGCGAACUCGAGUCGACCGCCCACUCCUCGCAGUCCCGGACGGAGGAGGUGUGGGAAGGCACGCGCAGAGGAGUCACGAAGGAGCUUCUGGCGGGGGGUGGUGACGGGUGGCGGUAUCCUUCCUCCCUGGUACAGGGGUCCCAGGGAGAGUCACCUCUAGGGGCUUCCAGGGCGUGUGGGCCCGGCCCCCCCCCCAGGGCGUGUGGGGGUGGACGGGGGUCCACGCGGGCCCAGGGGGUGAAGAGAAACGCGCUCGUUAGAGAAUUCCGCGGCCUACACGCCGCCCCCUAACUAAAAUAGAGAGAUGGUAGAUUUCCCCUGGGCGGACAGGUGUCAGCAUGUGCCUUUCAGUGUCAACCCGCGUGUGGCUGAUUGGUGAGAUACAAGUCUUGUGAAAUUCAAACGUGAAACUUGUGAAAUCCAAAGUGUUUUAUUAAUGGCCACCAGCGAGCCAUGAUCAAGGUGGAGCCUUCCAGCGAAACCAACGAUUGGCUCGUUGGCAGGUACACCCAAGGGAGGCUUCAUACCUUGAGGUGACUUAGAUGGUGUUCUGGAGAUACGCAGGCCCACUUGGGGACCUGGGCCCUUCCGUUGGGACUGUAAAUAAAAAUAAAAGGUGGGCCAGA
Molecule: long non-coding RNA, 674 nt
Organism: Homo sapiens (human)
Lineage: Eukaryota; Metazoa; Chordata; Mammalia; Primates; Hominidae
Source: Ensembl